CCUUCUAACAACACUUCUUCCUUUCUUCGAAACACACCAUCUUCUUUGAAACAAUGCCUUUGAAAAAUGAAAAGUGAAAACCCUAAAGUCACAGAGCUCAUCACCCUAACAGCGGCGGCGCUCUUCACCAAACAUAGAGCUCAUCGCCGGUGCCCUCACUCUCUCUCCCAAUAACACUCAUUGGUCAACCUCAUUCCAACCUUCUCUAGCAACCCCUCCGUAGGUGCCACCUCUGCUGGUGUUCCCUGCGUCGGCGCUCCUUCCGUCUCUCCUGUAAACACCUAUCCCUCCUUCGGCGGUGACUCACUCUGGUAAGGCCUCCCUCGGCGCUCACUCUCUAUCGCAAACCCUCCGUCGACGCUCUCUCUCUCUCUCUCUCGUAAACCCUCAAUCGUCGCUCCUCCCACCAUGAUUUAGCACCCGCCGUAUUUCUGUCUCCCUCUCUGAAGUCGUCGUGCCGCCGUCUCCCUCUCCUUCACUCGUCGUACCUCCGUCAGCCAUGUUCAGUGUUCGUAGCGCCGUGCUGUGGUAGUGCUCAACUGCUACUAUGUGAUGCUGAACUGCUACUGCUUUGCCUGUUCUGUUAUUCUAGUUUUUCUACAUCAACUAUCAAGCAGGGGACUCCUACUGGGAGAAAAAGUCUAAGGCUGCUGGUCUUAGGGCAACUGCAAACCAUUUGCGUGAUUUGAAUCCUGAAGAUGUGCACGAAAUUCUUAGGCAAGCUGCUGAAAUUUUUGAAGGAAUAGGAAUAAUUAAUAUUGUAGCUCAAUGUCUUUCAGAUUUGGGGGAUCAUGAAAAAGCUGCGUCUUCUUCUAGCACCUUCUACACCAACCUCAAGUUUUGAACCAAACCCAAUAGUAACAAAGCUUUUUCUUUGUCACAAGAAUAAUAAUAAUCAUAUAUCAUGAAGACAACAUCAAUAACAACAUCAACAGCAACUUGAACUGAAGGUCCUGUGCUAGAAAGGCAGCCUCUUUGUUAUGCACGCAAGUGAGGUUAAGUAGCUGGUUUUGGUCAAAGAGUAUGCUGGAUUUGUCGUGGAGUAUAUAAAUGGCAAUAAUUUGACAUACAGAAAGAAAUGGUACAUAGUGAAUUGGAUUCUGACAAGGGCAAUUUUGCUAGGAUCACUGGUGGCAACAGUGGAAGAGUAGGUUCUGUCUUUGGUAGAGAGCCUUCAUUUUCACGCUGGUGUGAUGAGGACGAAGAAGUCCAUUUGAAUCGGGAAUUAGGAAAUGCAAGGAAUGAUCUUGUGGACGAAGACCCUGGUUUUGACCCUAUAAGUUUCUUCUCGAUACAAGUGGUCAUCACAUCCAUAGAUACACUAUGUGUCCUAUCAAGGAUUAUUACCUGGUGCUGGUCUCAAAUUCAAACUGGUGUUGUCAUGUCUUGGAGGGAUUAGUUUUUGAAAGUGUGCUAAGUUAUGAUUGCAAGUGUUCUCAUUAUCAGUGGGUGAAAUGGGAACUGUGAUUACCUUUGGCGCAAGGUAGUCUUGUGAAUUCUUCCAUGAUCGCAUGAAGGGCAAAAGUGAUGAAGGUAAAGUCAGAAAAAUUUUGAAGGUGGAACAUAACUUUUACUCUUUGGCAUCAAGACAAAGAAGAGGCCCCAUGCAUGCAUACAUGAUAUGAUCACUGAACACAUUCAAUUGCAUUGCAAAAAAGCAUAAAAAAAGGCCAUACAGCAGGUCCUAUAUAUAUGCUUGAGUAAAGACAAGUGAAA
Arachis ipaensis is the source of this 1716-nucleotide non-coding RNA. Lineage: Eukaryota; Viridiplantae; Streptophyta; Magnoliopsida; Fabales; Fabaceae. The record is from RefSeq and is a predicted model, not a curated record.